UCGCGUUAAGUUUUCAUCUUGAUCCUACGCCUUUGAAUCAACAUAUUUGGCCCUACUCAGCCUUCAAAGCUCAAUUAUGCUUCAUUUACGCUCCAACUCUAUCAAACUUCAUCCUGCGCUUCAAAAUAGAUGACAUAAUAAGUGUAAUUCACACCAAAUAAGCUCAAAACGAUAAUAAAAGAAAGAGCAAAUAUAAGGCGAAUGAUGGUAUAAAGGCAUGCAGUGGCGGAUCCACCUUGUAAUCAGGGAGGUCAUUCGAAUCCCCUUCGAUGGAAAAUUAUAUUAUUUUUAUACGGUCAGAAAUAUUUUUAUGUAUAUAUAGUAGAUAUUGAACCUCCUUCGAUUAGUCUGUAUGUUUACUUCUGACCCCUCAAUGAAAAUCCUGACUCCGCCACUGAAGGCAUGCCUUUGUACUUCACAUCAUAGUUAAGAUUAUGUACAAUUUAUAUUAUUUAGAUAUUAAUCACUUAUGUUGAAACGAGAAUUUUCUUUUACACAUUUACUAUAAACUAGUCAAGUGUACGUGUUUUGCACGUGUGUCACGUUAAUUAAUACUAAUAAAGCUAUGAGAAGAAGCAUGUAUGUCACAUUAAUUAAUACUAAUAAAGCUAUGAUAAGAAAUUAAAAUAGUACAAAAUUAAAUUGUAUAAACGUAAUAUUAAAUUACCUUCAUAUAAAUCAAUACCAUACCUUCAUAUAAAUCAAUACCACAAUCUCUGACUAUAUGAACAUUUUCAUAUCGUGUAUAUAGAUGAACACUUUUUAUCGGUUAACUCAAAAAUCUAACCGUUAAGGACCCACAUUGAAAAAAAAUAUCUUAUUGAUUUGGUUAUCGAUUUAGUACAACAACAACAUACCCACUGUAUUCCCACCAAGCGGUGGUUAUCGAUUUAAUAUGUUUAGAAACUAAAAACUAAUAAAACGAACCGAUAAUGCAUAAUACCGAACUAUAUAUAAAUCAACCGAUGAUGGAAUAUCUUAGAAAGGAGUAAUACUUAUGGCAACAAAAAAAUGAAUCGUCAUUCUCAUAAUAUAAAUUUAAAUUUGUAAGUAAGAUAAACAUUUGAUUUUGACUGCUAUGUCAUUCGGCGGCAACAAGCUUGUCUUGUCCAAUUAACACAAGAAACCAUUAAAAGGGGAUAAGCCAAUAUUGUCAAUUGUUGUUUACGUAUAAUUCAUAUACAAUCUUUAAACUUAGCAGUAAUGAUAAUGAAUAUAUGAAAGAAGACUUCAAUCAUAAUCAAAAUAACAAGGAAAGUAUAAUAGAAGAAUUGGUGGCUUUUCUUUGUUAAAGUUUGAUCAAAGCAUUAUUUAAAUAAAAUUGUAGAAUUUUUUUUUUAUAAUAUAUAUAAAAUAAAAUUCUAAUUGAUUUAGAAGUCCAAAAUAUUUUCUAUAAAAAAAAUUAUCUAAAUAUAAUAGAUUUUUAUUUUUAUUUCGUAAAUUAUCUAUGAAUAGUAAAAUAAUAUGGAUUCCAAUAUAAACUCACUUUUUUUUUUCUUUUUGUUUACUUUUUUUUUCAAGACGUGUUACUUUUUUGUUUCAACUUUGUAUGUUAUCUUUUAUAUAAAUAAAAUGGCCACAAAAAAAAAAUAAGUAAAACUAACUAUAUUUAAAAGGGAUACUUAUGAUUACCCAUGUUUAAAUAUAUUUACUUUUUAUAUUAAAAAGGUAUUACUUAUCAAAAAAAUAUAUUUAUUUUCCGUAAGCAAUGAAUAUAAAAGAUUUAGUACAUAUAAGCUCUAAAUAUUAAUGUCAUAAUUAAAUAUUUAUUUUUAAAUUCUUAAAUGUGUUCUAUACGUAUAUCUCGAGUCAAUUAAUAAAAAAAUAUACAAAAAAUAAAAUUAUUAAGAAAUAUCAAUUAACUUUAAAAUAAAUAAAUUCAUGAAAUGACUCUAACUUUGACUUACAUACAAAGAAAAAACGAAAAAAACAGAGAGUAAAAAGGAGGUAUAUCCCAAUUUUGAAUAAAAAAACAUGCUUGUAGGUUGCAAAGCAUCAUUUAUUCUAGAAAGUUAUUUAAUUGACAAUGAAAACUAAAAUUACCCCUGGAAAGUACCUCUGUAAAGAGUGUUUGAUCGUAUUUUGUAUGUAUGAUAACAAUUGGAACCUGUAUUCAAAAAAAUAAAAAAAUCAUUGAAGUAUAUGGAUAAACAUAAUGAUGAUAUGCUAAAUCUCAUGAUUUAUUUUCAAUUAAAAUAAUUUCAUAUAAGCAAAAAUUUAAAAGGAACUUCAUAUAACGAAGAAGGCUAAGAAACUUAGAAAAUAUAGAAGUAGAAGAUAUUUUCCCGUAAAAUUUGAUCAAAUAACUACUUAAAUAGAAUUGUAGACAUUUUUUUUUAUACUAGUUUAACCGCACGUGCCUUGCACGUGUAACAUUAAUUAUUUAAAAUUAGUAAAUUUUAUCUAUUGUGAAGAUGUUUAAUAAAGUGCAAAAAAUUCAAAUCACUUCUCAAAGGUCCUUCACACUUUAAUAUAUAAUAAUAUAAACAUAACACAUAUUUUAUUGUAAACACAUAUAUAGUUUACCAUCAAUUUUUAAGUGGUUAAUUGAUUGUCAUUUUUACAAUUGUCAUGCAAUACCUCCUUUACUUGCUGCUAGAGACUAAGAGAGACACAUCAAUUUGAAUCAUAUUUGUAGUACGGUUAUUUUUUUCUAUAUUUAAAAUCUUUUCUUAUUUUCAAAGUUAAAUCUUUGAUUAUUUAAUUUAAAAUUUUAAAAAAUCGUAUUUCUUAUAUUUUUCUCAUUCUAAAGUUUUCAUAUUUAUUUCUAGAUUUUUCAAAUCUUCUUAAAAUCAAUUUUCGUUGAUUUAGAAUUCUUAAACUAAUGAAAAAAGGUAUUCGUUGUCAUUAAUUCUGAUGAUUUCUAAUAAGAAAGGAUUUUACCAUAAAUAUACUUAAUUAAUUUUUAACUUUAAUUUUAAAUAUUAUAAAAAAUAGUAAAAAGACGAUUUUGUCUAAAGUAAAAAUUUUUAGUGAAGGGCAAAAAGAUCAAACGAUAAUUUUAAGGCCCUUCACACUUUUAAUAUAUUAUAGAUUAUAGAUUAUAGAUUAUAGAUUAUAGAUUACAGAUUAUAGAUAUAGAUAUAGAUUGUAGAUUAUAGAUAUAAAUUGUAGAUUAUAGAUUAUAGAUUAUUCAUUAUAGAUUAUAGAUUAUCGAUAUAGAUUAUAGAUUAUAGAUUAUAGAUCAUCGAUAUAGAUUAUAGAUAUAGAUAUAAAUUAUAGAUAGAUAGAUUAUAGAUAUAGAUAUAGAUACGCAUAUAGCUAUACAUAUAUAUACACACAUAAAUAGAUAUACACACACAUAUAUACAUAUACAUACAUAGUUUCUACUUAAAUGGGUUGCACAAAUAUUCUUUAUCAGUUAUUAUAAUAAUUACGAUAGCUCAAUAUACUUUACUAAUUGCAUGUGGUUACAUCAUAUGUAAAUUUAACAUAAUUAUAUAUCGUUAAAAACUUUAUGCUCUAGACAACGAAAUGGUUCUCUCAUUAUAAGAAUUUAUACUACACAUUAAGCAGCUGACAAAGAGAGAACUAAGCUAAGCAAUGGGGCUAUGGAACCCUUGAGCCAUGUUUUAUUGACCUUCUGAUUGUUACACCUCGAUCAACCAUAUAGCAUGUCCUUACUUUAAUUUAAUUGUUUCCAAGAAGUAAUAGGUAGGCCGAUUUAAACAUGGUAGCUUAUACUCUUCAAUUAAGUAGCUAGUUUGGGAAUUGAAAUCCUAAAGCAUUAGUUGUUUGGAAUUUAAUUAUACACAUAGAUAAUAUUUUUCAAGACAAAAACUAAAUCUUUAAAUUAAAAUUCUUUAAUGGAUCGCCACUUUGUGUUUGUCAUGCAAUACCUUUUUUCUUUGUUGCUAGAGGCUAUGAGAUAUGCAUCACAAAGUUUAUUCAUCUAUUAUUAAAUUAUAGAUUCCAUCGAUACCUCAAGCAUACAAAAUAUCUAAAAGGGGAAAAAAGAGAAAAUAUAUUCAAAAUUAACAACAGAAUAUAUGUAAUCCAAAUACAAAUUUAAUAGUAAUAUAGAAGAUAAUAUGGUCAUAUAAAAAACAAACACAUCAUUAAGUAUUCCACAAAAAUAAUAAAACUAAGCAAAAAGUUGAAAGCUAACGUCGAAGUUGAAAGAAUCCUCUUAUUAUUAGUCACCCAACAAACAACAUCUUCUCCGAUCUCCAUCACAAAAUUUAUUCAUCUAUUAUUGAACUAUAGAUUUCAUUGAUAUCUCAAGAAUACAAAAUAUCUAAAAAGUAUAUAUAUAUAUUCAACACAAAAUUUGAUUUCAUUGAAUUAUAUUUAAUUUUCGAAUUCAUCUUAGUCUACUCCCAAACUGCGACAAAUAAUAGUUGAAAAAAAUGCUAAGUUAGACGGAAGAAAGAAUAUAAAAUAACAAUUAUUGAUCUCAAAGAACUAUGGCAGCAGCUAGAUCUUAGUAGCUAGAUCUUAUUUACGCAUGAUGAAUUAUUAUCAAGAAAUUUGUCUCAUAAUUUAGUAGGAACAGGUUGGAAACUUAUAUGCCUAUGUAGAAAUAAGUGCGCGACCUACAUGAGUUGUGGUGCAGUGGAUGGGGCUGCUCCAUCAUUAACCAGUGUUUGAGGGUUCGACCUUGGGUAUGGAGAAAACUCUGUUGGGAGCGCUGUCACCUUAAUGAGCCCUGCAACGCGCGAUCCGAAUUAAUCGGGGCUCCAAUGCGGACACCAAACACCGGAUGAGAAACCAAAAAAAGAAAUAAGUGCGCGAUUUCAAGAGCUUUUAGUUUUGGAGAAGCUCUUAUUGAAACAAAAUAGAAUGGAGAAUAUAAUUAGAGUGUCAGGAAAACAAUAGCUAACAUCUUGCUGCUACAAAAAUUUGAACGCCGAUUAU
This 4857-nucleotide long non-coding RNA is filed under the name Capsicum annuum. RNAcentral describes it as "long non-coding RNA (CANN_LNC006344)". The record is from RNAcentral. Lineage: Eukaryota; Viridiplantae; Streptophyta; Magnoliopsida; Solanales; Solanaceae.